RNAcentral lists this ribosomal RNA (501 nucleotides) under uncultured bacterium. Its description in RNAcentral is "bacterial SSU rRNA". It matches the Rfam family "Bacterial small subunit ribosomal RNA", at positions 29 to 524 of the family's 1533-position model. The record is from RNAcentral.
AACGAACGCUGGCGGCGCGCCUAAUACAUGCAAGUCGAGCGAGAAGACGUAGCAAUACGUUUGUAGAGCGGCGAACGGGUGAGGAAUACAUGGGUAACCUACCCUCGAGUGGGGAAUAACUAGCCGAAAGGUUAGCUAAUACCGCGUACGCUCCUUGGACUUCGGUUCAGGGAGGAAAGCGAUACCGUGGGUAUCGCGCUCUUGGAUGGGCUCAUGUCCUAUCAGCUUGUUGGGAGGUAACGGCUCACCAAGGCUUCGACGGGUAGCUGGUCUGAGAGGACGAUCAGCCACACUGGCACUGCGACACGGGCCAGACUCCUACGGGAGGCAGCAGUAAGGAAUAUUGCGCAAUGGGCGAAAGCCUGACGCAGCGACGCCGCGUGGGGGAUGAGGGUCUUCGGAUUGUAAACCCCUUUCGGGAGGGAAGAUGGAACGAGCAAUCGUUCGGACGGUACCUCCAGAAGCAGCCACGGCUAACUUCGUGCCAGCCGCCGCCGUAAU